This 815-nucleotide long non-coding RNA is filed under the name Anas platyrhynchos platyrhynchos (common mallard). Its description in RNAcentral is "lncRNA (ENSAPLG00000027787.1)". The record is from RNAcentral. Lineage: Eukaryota; Metazoa; Chordata; Aves; Anseriformes; Anatidae.
GUGGGUCCGGGGCACGUGGGGCUCUGGUACCUGUCCUGGGCACAGCAGGAGGAGGAGAGCCCCACGGAGCCAUCUGCGUGGGGGUGGUGGUGGCCCCCAGGGCAGGCAGUGAUGGCAGUGAGGGUUCCUCAUGUGCCGAGCCCCCUCUUGCCUCCCACAGCAUCCCUCCUGCGCGUGCCCUGCGAGCUGGUGCUGGACAUGGGGUUUGUCCCUGCCCUGCAGGACCCCGCAUCCCGCGAGCGCCGUGGUCUGCUGCACAGCUUCAACAGAACGGUCGCGCCCCUGUUCAUGUCGGUGCCCGGCUUCCUGCGGCUGGAGGUGACGGGGAUCAGGGAGGGCAGCGUGGUGCUGGAGUACGAUGCGCUGUUUGCAGCAGAGCGGGUGCGGGCGCCGGGGCUGGGAGCGCUCCUCGAGUCUGCGCUGGGCCCUGGUGGCACCCGGCCGGGGCUGGCGGUGGGCGCUGCCCCCGUCCUGCGCAACGUGGCCCUGGAGCGGCCGCUGGACCCCUGUGCUGAGCUCUUCGCCUGCCGGGCCGGCUUCGCCUGCGUGGCUGGGGCAGACGGGAACGCCACCUGCACGUCCCUCUGCCACCGCGACUACUGCAAGAACCACGGCAUCUGCACACACCCCCGGGACCGGGGGCCGCUCUGCCAGUGAGUGCUGGGGGUGGAAGGGACCGGGCCGUGCACCCACCCCCGGGCUGGGGGUGCCUGUGGCUGAUGCCCCCCCCUUGCUGCAGGUGUCCCGUUGGCAGCGAUUUCUGGUUCAUGGGGCUGCGCUGCGACUACCGGGUGACACAGCAGAGCCUGCUGGGC